This 253-nucleotide ribosomal RNA is filed under the name uncultured bacterium. Its description in RNAcentral is "partial 16S ribosomal RNA". It matches the Rfam family "Bacterial small subunit ribosomal RNA", at positions 524 to 776 of the family's 1533-position model. The record is from RNAcentral.
UACAGAGGUCUCAAGCGUUGUUCGGAUUCAUUGGGCGUAAAGGGUGCGUAGGUGGCGCGGUAAGUCGGGUGUGAAAUUUCGGAGCUUAACUCCGAAACUGCAUUCGAUACUGCUGUGCUUGAGGACUGGAGAGGAGACUGGAAUUUACGGUGUAGCAGUGAAAUGCGUAGAUAUCGUAAGGAAGACCAGUGGCGAAGGCGGGUCUCUGGACAGUUCCUGACACUGAGGCACGAAGGCCAGGGGAGCAAACGGG